GCACCCAUAGCUCAGCUGGUAGAGCUGCUCCCUCUUAAGGAGAAGGUCCCAAGUUCGAAUCUUGGUGGGUGCACGA
This 76-nucleotide transfer RNA is filed under the name Candidatus Moraniibacteriota bacterium. RNAcentral's name for it is "Candidatus Moranbacteria bacterium (groundwater metagenome) tRNA-Lys". It matches the Rfam family "tRNA". From Rfam's summary of the family: Transfer RNA (tRNA) molecules are approximately 80 nucleotides in length. The record is from RNAcentral. Lineage: Bacteria; Candidatus Moraniibacteriota.